Molecule: long non-coding RNA, 771 nt
Organism: Danio aesculapii
Lineage: Eukaryota; Metazoa; Chordata; Actinopteri; Cypriniformes; Danionidae
Exons: 6
Source: RefSeq, a predicted model, not a curated record
UUCACUGCCGUCCGCGACACCCCUCCGCCAUCCACUGCACCAACACCCCUCGCUCCCCAAUUUCAUGCGCGACACCUCUCCAUCCUCGGGUAACAUGCCGGAUCAGUUACCCCUAUCUGUUCUGAGACCUCUCAAAUCACAAAUUAAGCACUGCUUAAACUGUAUAGAAGUUGAGAUGGACCUUAUGUUUGCAAAAAAGUGGAGGAGUCUUAACCUGCAAUAAGGUGGGUCCUGCUACGCUGGAUGUAGAUCAGGUGUUCUUGUAGCUCAGCAGUGGGAAAGAACCUCAAGCGGGAAUUUGAUCUUUCAGUUAAAGAGGAGGAAUGUUGGAGAGCUGUUGUCAGAGCUUUUACAGCAAACCAAGACUCAAGAGCCUACAGAUUUUGAUUCUCCUGGAGGACAAGCCUGCAGACUUCUUUAAACCAUGCUUUGACUCUGAUGAUCCAGUCAUUCCACCACCUUGAAAUCCUAUUCUUAUUGCAGACAAAGCCUCAGUUAAGAUGAUCAUUGAGGGACAACUUGUGAUGGACUGCAUCAAAGACUUGUCAAAAGCUGUGCAUUCUCUUUGGACUACUAUACCCCAAGUCGACAAAGAACACUUUUCUCUUCAUCCAACAAAGUUCUCCUCAUGUUGGGCUACAGUGACUUAAAGCCCAAGCUACAGACAUUAAAUAAUUAAAUUGCUUUUCGAUUCACUGCAAAAUUUGCACAAUUGUUCUAUUAGCAAUGAUUGCUAAUGCCAGAAAGAAAUGUGAAUGAAACUUUAACAAA